GCCCUGAGCCUUCCUGGACAGGAAGUCCUUAAGAUUAAAGAUUAUAUUUUUAUGGUCUCAUGCCUGCCUACUCCAAGCUAUUAACUGAAGAGAAAUGUAACUAGAAGUCAAUUUGUAGAAAGGAUAUUAACGGUCUUUGGUGUGUGUCACAAUGAAAAAUAGGAAGGAAUCAAGGUGGAGUAGUGGAGAGAAGAAACCAGCUUGGUUAUUGUUUGGAGUAUUGGAAAUAAGAGUAUUUCUGUGUGGAAGCGGAAUUGUCAUUGCAUAUGUAAUUAAAACAAAAUUGAUAAAAAACGUAGAUAUUAGGAUAUUAACAGGUAGGCCAUAUAAAGGAUUUCAUCUUACUUACUCCGGCUGCCUUUUUCAAAGCACUCUUUUUCCAAAGGAAUGUGCAGGAGAGAGAGGCUGUUUUCUUUGUUUGUUUUUCAGUUGUACUUGAUGCUGUGACGUAUCCUACAAUUGUCUAAAUGCAACGCGUUUUGAAAAUGUCAUUUCUUCACACCAGCCUGGUGGGUGACCUGUGGUUCUGCAUUUGAUAAACAUGCCCCUUGGGUUUAUAUUUUUGCAUUUACUGUUUGUCAAGAAAAUUUGAAGAAAAACAAAGAAAAAUGCAAAGAAGAAAAUAACAGUUAUCCAUGAUCUCAUCAUCCGAAGGUGGCUGUUUCAUGCCAGGGUCUGAGAAGCCGCGCUGGUUGAGGACUGGGACUAUUUUCCUGUGAACAUGCGAGGAAGGUUUGCUCCGUGUCCUCCUGGAAUGUGCUCUCCAGGGAAACUUUCCGGUGGUGAGAUCACUCCUGCAUGUAUGAAUCUUUGUUCUGAUACUUCCGACCGCAGUUCAUGCACAUAACCAGUGAAACGUGAAACAGGUUCCAUGGUGAGCAAGAAAUUCUGGAGGUUAUUCUGUUGUCCCCUGCAUCACAACUUAGGCCAACAUAGCAGCAGUCUCAAUGUCAUCAUCCUCCAUAGGUAUACUUUAUUGUUUUGUCACCUUUUUUUUUUUGAGAAAGAGAAAAUGAGACAUCACUUACUACUCUUAGUUGCUUCCCCAUGUUUCUUUUGCUUCAGAGCCAAACUCGUUAAUGAACAAGUUACAGAACACGGGGAAAAAACAAAGUACCUGGCUUGGUUUAGGCUCUGACAAGUAUUCCUUAUGGGAAAUCUGUGAAUGCACUGGGUGGAUUCUCACAGGUAUCGGUCUGGGCCAGCGCAUCCUUGCCAGAAGACAGUGAAUCUACACCCAAGAUCUGAGAUUGCUGCCAGUGCACAAGAAAAUAGAAAAAAAGAAGCCCAGUGAUAAAAGACAUGUGGAAUAUUGUUCACCUGAAUGCAGUAAAUUAAAGAAAGUCAACCACAGUGAUCACAGAGUGAAAAAACAACAAACAAAAAGCUACCCAAACUAAUUAAAAUUUUAACACUCUCCCCACCCCCACCCUUAACCCUAGCAGCUUUGAUUGACAUUUCAUAGUUAAGCUAGUCCAUUUGUUUUUAAAGCCAAAGUUCCCACAGCAUAAAAAUAGCACAAUAGCCCCUGCUUGGCAGCUUGUGGACAAGUGCAAGGAGCUUGGAGAAGCGCUGAUGGUUCUAUUGAAGAAGCAGCUGUUUGUGUCUUCACUUCUGACCCGUGGCCGCACUCUGGGCUGGCUGUGCUCAAAGGUCUUUCACUCUCCCCCCUCCAAGCGGCUUGCUAUUCACAAAACAGAAGCCAGGCGUGUGUUGGUUUCAGCUACUUCCAGAAGCAGAUGCGGCAAUUACCUUCAGAGGCAAGCAUGAGAUGAACUUUGAGUGGUGGCCGGCUUUUAGGAUGGUGGUCCAUCCAAGGAGACUUUUAUUGCUGGUAAUCCUUUUAGAUCUUCAGCACCAAUUGAUGGUCUUUACUUCAAGCUAUUGUCAACACAGAUGGCGCUGGGUUUGGAAUGCCAGAGGCAGACAAAUCCUGCCUGUGUUUAUCCAGUUUUAACUUUUGUGCUAAGCGAUUGAACUAUGAAUGCUAGCAACAAAGAAACAAAAAGAAAGAAUAUUUCCAUCAGAUGUUAUCUGUUCAUUGUGAAAACUAAUUAGGACACCUACACAGACUCACAGAUAGGCUAAUGUUAAAUGAUUAUAUAUAUCUAUA
This 2113-nucleotide long non-coding RNA is filed under the name Homo sapiens (human). RNAcentral describes it as "HSALNT0375128". Lineage: Eukaryota; Metazoa; Chordata; Mammalia; Primates; Hominidae. The record is from RNAcentral.